RNAcentral lists this ribosomal RNA (960 nucleotides) under Klebsiella pneumoniae. RNAcentral's name for it is "bacterial SSU rRNA". It matches the Rfam family "Bacterial small subunit ribosomal RNA", at positions 164 to 1119 of the family's 1533-position model. Lineage: Bacteria; Pseudomonadati; Pseudomonadota; Gammaproteobacteria; Enterobacterales; Enterobacteriaceae. The record is from RNAcentral.
UAAUACCGCAUAANGUCGCAAGACCAAAGUGGGGGACCUUCGGGCCUCAUGCCAUCAGAUGUGCCCAGAUGGGAUUAGCUAGUAGGUGGGGUAACGGCUCACCUAGGCGACGAUCCCUAGCUGGUCUGAGAGGAUGACCAGCCACACUGGAACUGAGACACGGUCCAGACUCCUACGGGAGGCAGCAGUGGGGAAUAUUGCACAAUGGGCGCAAGCCUGAUGCAGCCAUGCCGCGUGUGUGAAGAAGGCCUUCGGGUUGUAAAGCACUUUCAGCGGGGAGGAAGGCGAUNAGGUUAAUAACCUNNUCGAUUGACGUACCCGCAGAAGAAGCACCGGCUAACUCCGUGCCCAGCAGCCGCGGUAAUACGGAGGGUGCAAGCGUUAAUCGGAAUUACUGGGCGUAAAGCGCACGCAGGCGGUCUGUCAAGUCGGAUGUGAAAUCCCCGGGCUCAACCUGGGAACUGCAUUCGAAACUGGCAGGCUAGAGUCUUGUAGAGGGGGGUAGAAUUCCAGGUGUAGCGGUGAAAUGCGUAGAGAUCUGGAGGAAUACCGGUGGCGAAGGCGGCCCCCUGGACAAAGACUGACGCUCAGGUGCGAAAGCGUGGGGAGCAAACAGGAUUAGAUACCCUGGUAGUCCACGCCGUAAACGAUGUCGAUUUGGAGGUUGUGCCCUUGAGGCGUGGCUUCCGGAGCUAACGCGUUAAAUCGACCGCCUGGGGAGUACGGCCGCAAGGUUAAAACUCAAAUGAAUUGACGGGGGCCCGCACAAGCGGUGGAGCAUGUGGUUUAAUUCGAUGCAACGCGAAGAACCUUACCUGGUCUUGACAUCCACAGAACUUUCCAGAGAUGGAUUGGUGCCUUCGGGAACUGUGAGACAGGUGCUGCAUGGCUGUCGUCAGCUCGUGUUGUGAAAUGUUGGGUUAAGUCCCGCAACGAGCGCAACCCUUAUCCUUUGUUGCC